GGGUGGAUAGUUCAACUGGUAGAACGCACUUUUGCAAGGUUAUCGCUUCUAACGAUCCCCCCCCUUUAUGUCGCGAGAUGUGGGUUCGAGUCCCAUUCCACCCC
Molecule: transfer RNA, 104 nt
Filed under: Pseudanabaena sp. UWO311
Lineage: Bacteria; Bacillati; Cyanobacteriota; Cyanophyceae; Pseudanabaenales; Pseudanabaenaceae
Description: tRNA-Gln
Rfam family: tRNA
About the family: Transfer RNA (tRNA) molecules are approximately 80 nucleotides in length. Their secondary structure includes four short double-helical elements and three loops (D, anti-codon, and T loops).
Source: RNAcentral